GGAGCGAAGUCUUUGAUUCCCCGCUGCCAAGAAAAGCUUCUAGCGAGAUAAAAGGUGCCUGUACCGCAAACCGACACAGGUAGGCGAGGAGAGAAUCCUAAGGUGUGCGAGAGAACUCUGGUUAAGGAACUCGGCAAAAUGACCCCGUAACUUCGGAGAAGGGGUGCUUUCUUAACGGAAAGCCGCAGUGAAUAGGCCCAAGCGACUGUUUAGCAAAAACACAGCUCUCUGCGAAGCCGUAAGGCGAAGUAUAGGGGGUGACACCUGCCCGGUGCUGGAAGGUUAAGGAGAGGGGUUAGCGUAAGCGAAGCUCUGAACUGAAGCCCCAGUAAACGGCGGCCGUAACUAUAACGGUCCUAAGGUAGCGAAAUUCCUUGUCGGGUAAGUUCCGACCCGCACGAAAGGUGUAACGAUUUGGGCACUGUCUCAACCAGAGACUCGGUGAAAUUAUAGUACCUGUGAAGAUGCAGGUUACCCGCGACAGGACGGAAAGACCCCGUGGAGCUUUACUGUAGCCUGAUAUUGAAUUUUGGUACAGUUUGUACAGGAUAGGCGGGAGCCAUUGAAACCGGAGCGCUAGCUUCGGUGGAGGCGCUGGUGGGAUACCGCCCUGACUGUAUUGAAAUUCUAACCUACGGGUCUUAUCGACCCGGGAGACAGUGUCAGGUGGGCAGUUUGACUGGGGCGGUCGCCUCCUAAAGUGUAACGGAGGCGCCCAAAGGUUCCCUCAGAAUGGUUGGAAAUCAUUCGUAGAGUGCAAAGGCAUAAGGGAGCUUGACUGCGAGACCUACAAGUCGAGCAGGGACGAAAGUCGGGCUUAGUGAUCCGGUGGUUCCGCAUGGAAGGGCCAUCGCUCAACGGAUAAAAGCUACCCCGGGGAUAACAGGCUUAUCUCCCCCAAGAGUCCACAUCGACGGGGAGGUUUGGCACCUCGAUGUCGGCUCAUCGCAUCCUGGGGCUGUAGUCGGUCCCAAGGGUUGGGCUGUUCGCCCAUUAAAGCGGUACGCGAGCUGGGUUCAGAACGUCGUGAGACAGUUCGGUCCCUAUCCGUCGUGGGCGUAGGAAAUUUGAGAGGAGCUGUCCUUAGUACGAGAGGACCGGGAUGGACGCACCGCUGGUGUACCAGUUGUUCUGCCAAGGGCAUAGCUGGGUAGCUAUGUGCGGAAGGGAUAAGUGCUGAAAGCAUCUAAGCAUGAAGCCCCCCUCAAGAUGAGAUUUCCCAUAGCGUAAGCUAGUAAGAUCCCUGAAAGAUGAUCAGGUUGAUAGGUUCGAGGUGGAAGCAUGGUGACAUGUGGAGCUGACGAAUACUAAUAGAUCGAGGACUUAACCAU
This 1331-nucleotide ribosomal RNA is filed under the name Bacillus cereus. RNAcentral describes it as "bacterial LSU rRNA". It matches the Rfam family "Bacterial large subunit ribosomal RNA", at positions 1582 to 2925 of the family's 2925-position model. Lineage: Bacteria; Bacillati; Bacillota; Bacilli; Caryophanales; Bacillaceae. The record is from RNAcentral.